Molecule: transfer RNA, 59 nt
Filed under: Alphaproteobacteria bacterium HGW-Alphaproteobacteria-14
Lineage: Bacteria; Pseudomonadati; Pseudomonadota; Alphaproteobacteria
Also listed under: 1 other name
Description: tRNA-Thr
Rfam family: tRNA
About the family: Transfer RNA (tRNA) molecules are approximately 80 nucleotides in length. Their secondary structure includes four short double-helical elements and three loops (D, anti-codon, and T loops).
Source: RNAcentral
GUAGCUCAGUGGUAGAGCGCACCCUUGGUAAGGGUGAGGUCGGGAGUUCAAUCCUCCCC